RNAcentral lists this ribosomal RNA (378 nucleotides) under uncultured bacterium. RNAcentral describes it as "bacterial SSU rRNA". It matches the Rfam family "Bacterial small subunit ribosomal RNA", at positions 521 to 896 of the family's 1533-position model. The record is from RNAcentral.
UAAUACGUAGGGGGCGAGCGUUGUCCGGAAUUAUUGGGCGUAAAGAGCUCGUAGGCGGUCCAUUAAGUCGGAAGUGAAAUCUCAGGGCUCAACCCUGAAAUUGCUUUCGAUACUGGCGGACUUGAGGCAAGUAGGGGAGAGCGGAAUUCCUGGUGUAGCGGUGAAAUGCGCAGAUAUCAGGAGGAACACCGGUGGCGAAGGCGGCUCUCUGGGCUUGUUCUGACGCUGAGGAGCGAAAGCGUGGGGAGCGAACAGGAUUAGAUACCCUGGUAGUCCACGCCGUAAACGAUGGGUGCUAGGUGUGGGGGGUUAUCCACUCCCUCCGUGCCGUAGCUAACGCAUUAAGCACCCCGCCUGGGGAUUACGACCGCAAGGUUA